UACGGAGGAUGCGAGCGUUAUCCGGAUUUAUUGGGUUUAAAGGGUGCGUAGGCGGUCCGUUAAGUCAGCGGUAAAAUUGCGGGGCUCAACCCCGUCGAGCCGUUGAAACUGUCAGACUUGAGUUGGCGAGAAGUACGCGGAAUGCGCGGUGUAGCGGUGAAAUGCAUAGAUAUCGCGCAGAACUCCGAUUGUGAAGGCAGCGUACCGGCGCCACACUGACGCUGAGGCACGAAAGCGUGGGGAUCGAACAGG
RNAcentral lists this ribosomal RNA (252 nucleotides) under uncultured bacterium. Its description in RNAcentral is "partial 16S ribosomal RNA". It matches the Rfam family "Bacterial small subunit ribosomal RNA", at positions 524 to 776 of the family's 1533-position model. The record is from RNAcentral.